GUGUCAGCCGCCGCGGUAAGACGAACCGGACAAACGUUAUUCGGAAUUACUGGGCUUAAAGGGUACGUAGGCGGUCCGGUAAGUGGGGUGUGAAAUCCCUCGGCUCAACCGAGGAACUGCGCCCCAUACUGCCGGACUUGAGGGAGACAGAGGUCAGCGGAACUGAUGGUGGAGCGGUGAAAUGCGUUGAUAUCAUCAGGAACACCGGUGGCGAAAGCGGCUGACUGGGUCUCUUCUGACGCUGAGGUACGAAAGCUAGGGGAGCGAACGGGAUUAGAUACCCUCGUAGUCC
RNAcentral lists this ribosomal RNA (292 nucleotides) under uncultured bacterium. Its description in RNAcentral is "partial 16S ribosomal RNA". It matches the Rfam family "Bacterial small subunit ribosomal RNA", at positions 505 to 796 of the family's 1533-position model. The record is from RNAcentral.